RNAcentral lists this ribosomal RNA (475 nucleotides) under uncultured soil bacterium. Its description in RNAcentral is "bacterial SSU rRNA". It matches the Rfam family "Bacterial small subunit ribosomal RNA", at positions 26 to 518 of the family's 1533-position model. The record is from RNAcentral.
AGGACGAACGCUGGCGGCGUGCUUAACACAUGCAAGUCGAGCGGUAAGGCCUUUCGGGGUACACGAGCGGCGAACGGGUGAGUAACACGUGGGUGAUCUGCCCUGCACUUCGGGAUAAGCCUGGGAAACUGGGUCUAAUACCGGAUAUGACCUCAGGUUGCAUGACUUGGGGUGGAAAGAUUUAUCGGUGCAGGAUGGGCCCGCGGCCUAUCAGCUUGUUGGUGGGGUAAUGGCCUACCAAGGCGACGACGGGUAGCCGACCUGAGAGGGUGACCGGCCACACUGGGACUGAGACACGGCCCAGACUCCUACGGGAGGCAGCAGUGGGGAAUAUUGCACAAUGGGCGAAAGCCUGAUGCAGCGACGCCGCGUGAGGGAUGGACGGCCUGCGGGUUGUAAACCUCUUUCAGCAGGGACGAAGCGCAAGUGACGGUACCUGCAGAAGAAGCACCGGCUAACACGUGCCAGCAGCCGC